RNAcentral lists this ribosomal RNA (406 nucleotides) under uncultured bacterium. Its description in RNAcentral is "bacterial SSU rRNA". It matches the Rfam family "Bacterial small subunit ribosomal RNA", at positions 355 to 773 of the family's 1533-position model. The record is from RNAcentral.
UGGGGAAUAUUGCACAAUGGGCGAAAGCCUGAUGCAGCGACGCCGCGUGAGGGAUGACGGCCUUCGGGUUGUAAACCUCUUUCAGCAGGGAAGAAGCGCAAGUGACGGUACCUGCAGAAGAAGCACCGGCUAACUACGUGCCAGCAGCCGCGGUAAUACGUAGGGUGCGAGCGUUGUCCGGAAUUAUUGGGCGUAAAGAGCUCGUAGGCGGCUUGUCGCGUCGACUGUGAAAACCCGCAGCUCAACUGCGGGCCUGCAGUCGAUACGGGCAGGCUAGAGUUCGGUAGGGGAGACUGGAAUUCCUGGUGUAGCGGUGAAAUGCGCAGAUAUCAGGAGGAACACCGGUGGCGAAGGCGGGUCUCUGGGCCGAUACUGACGCUGAGGAGCGAAAGCGUGGGGAGCGAAC